RNAcentral lists this ribosomal RNA (253 nucleotides) under uncultured bacterium. RNAcentral describes it as "partial 16S ribosomal RNA". It matches the Rfam family "Bacterial small subunit ribosomal RNA", at positions 524 to 776 of the family's 1533-position model. The record is from RNAcentral.
UACAGAGGGGGCAAGCGUUGUUCGGAAUUACUGGGCGUAAAGGGCGCGUAGGCGGCCUGCUAAGUCGAACGUGAAAUCCCCGGGCUCAACCCGGGAACUGCGUCCGAUACUGGCAGGCUUGAAUUCGGGAGAGGGAUGCGGAAUUCCAGGUGUAGCGGUGAAAUGCGUAGAUAUCUGGAGGAACACCGGUGGCGAAGGCGGUUCUCUGGGCAUUACCUGACGCUGAGGAGCGAAAGUGUGGGGAGCGAACAGG